This is a long non-coding RNA of Oncorhynchus tshawytscha (Chinook salmon), 639 nucleotides long. NCBI's taxonomy places the organism in Eukaryota, Metazoa, Chordata, Actinopteri, Salmoniformes, Salmonidae. The record is from Ensembl.
GAGAGAGACAGAGAGAGAGAGAGACACAGGGAGAGAGACAGAGAGAGAGAGAGACACAGCGAGAGAGAGAGACAGAGAGAGACAGAGAGAGACAGAGAGAGAGAGAGAGAGAGAGACAGAGAGAGACAGAGAGAGACAGAGAGAGAGAGAGACACAGGGAGAGAGACACAGGGAGAGAGACAGUGGUAGUCUAGUGGUUAGAGUGUAGAGGAGGCAGGUAGCCUAGUGGUUAGAGUGUAGAGGCGGCAGGUAGCCUAGUGGUUAGAGUGUAGAGGAGGCAGGUAGCAUAGUGGUUAGAGUGUAGAGGAGGCAGGUAGCCUAGUGGUUAGAGUGUAGAGGAGGCAGGUAGACUAGUGGUUAGAGUGUAGUGGCGGCAGGUAGACUAGUGGUUAGAGUGUAGAGGAGGCAGGUAGCCUAGUGGUUAGAGUGAAGGGGGGGUAGUCUAGUGGUUAGAGUGUAGAGGCGGCAGGUAGUCUAGUGGUUAGAGUGUAGGGGUGGUAGGUAGUCUAGUGGUUAGAGUGUAGGGGAGUAGUCUAGUGGUUAGAGUGAAAUGGGAUACAGUACCUUCCUCUGUCCCCCAGACUGUACAGUCCCUUCCUCUGUCCCCCCCAGACUGUACAGUCCCUUCCUCUGUCCCCC